UGGGGAAUAUUGGACAAUGGACCAAGAGUCUGAUCCAGCAAUUCUGUGUGCACGAUGACGUUUUUCGGAAUGUAAAGUGCUUUCAGUUGGGAAGAAAAAAAUGACGGUACCAACAGAAGAAGUGACGGCUAAAUACGUGCCAGCAGCCGCGGUAAUACGUAUGUCACGAGCGUUAUCCGGAUUUAUUGGGCGUAAAGCUCGUCUAGGUGGUUAUGUAAGUCUGAUGUGAAAAUGCAGGGCUCAACUCUGUAUUGCGUUGGAAACUGUGUAACUAGAGUACUGGAGAGGUAAGCGGAACUACAAGUGUAGAGGUGAAAUUCGUAGAUAUUUGUAGGAAUGCCGAUGGGGAAGCCAGCUUACUGGACAGAUACUGACGCUGAAGCGCGAAAGCGUGGGUAGCAAACAGGAUUAGAUACCCUGGUAGUCCACGCCGUAAACGAUGAUUACUAGGUGUUGGGGGUCGAACCUCAGCGCCCAAGCAAACGCGAUAAGUAAUCCGCCUGGGGAGUACGUACGCAAGUAUG
This 524-nucleotide ribosomal RNA is filed under the name uncultured bacterium. RNAcentral describes it as "bacterial SSU rRNA". It matches the Rfam family "Bacterial small subunit ribosomal RNA", at positions 355 to 896 of the family's 1533-position model. The record is from RNAcentral.